AUUCAUCGUCGUCUCCCAUUGAGCAUCAGCAGCAUCGCAUCGCAUCGAGAAAUUUGUGGCCCGAACAAAUUUCCCAAAGUCUGUGUUGAAAAAUUAAUGUGCACAACUGUCAGUGCAGUGACAGAGAUGCGAUGUGAAUGGGGUUCAUAUUCGGAUGCGGAUCGGAUCGGAACUGAACUGAACUGAACUGAACUGAGCGGGGCGUGAGGGUUACUGUUGUGAAAGCUCUUGAUAAAUGAUUUUGAAAUGUGACAAAAUGCUUACGAGCGGGAUUACCGGGGACGAGACGACGACGGCCCAAGGAUUGUUUGCUCCGGGUUCGGAAAAAGAGUUAUUUGCCAGCUGAGGGACCAGCAAAGUUUGUUUUGUGCCAGCGGAAUCAGAUGGGAUUAUAGAGAUUUGCUCAAAUGAAGUUGUAACAGAAGUGAAUGCUCAGAUGAGUGAAGGGAAGGUGCGAGUCCUGAGCUAGACGAAUAUAAGCUGUACGCCCAUGAAAAUCAAAUAAAAUAGGAUUUGUUUUGUUGGCACUCGGAACAAAUCAAUAUUGAAUUUUUGCGAUUUUAGUAAAGAUUAUUUGG
Drosophila melanogaster (fruit fly) is the source of this 578-nucleotide non-coding RNA. The record is from Ensembl. NCBI's taxonomy places the organism in Eukaryota, Metazoa, Arthropoda, Insecta, Diptera, Drosophilidae.